AGAGUUUGAUCCUGGCUCAGGAUGAACGCUGGCGGCGUGCUUAACACAUGCAAGUCGAACGAACCUUCGGGUUAGUGGCGGACGGGUGAGUAACGCGUGAGAAUCUGCCCUCAGGAGGGGGAUAACGGUUGGAAACGACCGCUAAUACCCCAUAUGCCUAUUGGUGAAAUGAAUUUCGCCUGAGGAUGAGCUCGCGUCUGAUUAGCUAGUUGGUGGGGUAAAGGCUUACCAAGGCAUCGAUCAGUAGCUGGUCUGAGAGGAUGAUCAGCCACACUGGGACUGAGACACGGCCCAGACUCCUACGGGAGGCAGCAGUGGGGAAUUUUCCGCAAUGGGCGAAAGCCUGACGGAGCAACGCCGCGUGAGGGAUGAAGGCCUCUGGGCUGUAAACCUCUUUUAUCAAGGAAGAAGAUCUGACGGUACUUGAUGAAUAAGCCACGGCUAAUUCCGUGCCAGCCGCCGCGGU
Molecule: ribosomal RNA, 466 nt
Filed under: uncultured bacterium
Lineage: Bacteria
Description: bacterial SSU rRNA
Rfam family: Bacterial small subunit ribosomal RNA
Source: RNAcentral